RNAcentral lists this small nuclear RNA (179 nucleotides) under Rhinopithecus bieti (black snub-nosed monkey). RNAcentral's name for it is "U1 spliceosomal RNA (ENSRBIG00000023525.1)". It matches the Rfam family "U1 spliceosomal RNA". From Rfam's summary of the family: U1 is a small nuclear RNA (snRNA) component of the spliceosome (involved in pre-mRNA splicing). Its 5' end forms complementary base pairs with the 5' splice junction, thus defining the 5' donor site of an intron. The record is from RNAcentral. Lineage: Eukaryota; Metazoa; Chordata; Mammalia; Primates; Cercopithecidae.
AUACUUUUUUGGCAGGGAAAAUAUCACGAUCACGAAAGUGGAUUUUCUAAGAGCGAGUUUUCUAAGAGCGAGGUUUAUCCAUUGCACUCCGGAUGUGUUGACUCCUGCGAUUUCCCCAAAUGUGGGAGAGUCGACUGCAUGAUUUGUGAUAGUGGGAGACGGCCUGACGUGUUUUCCCU